GGAGGAGAAGGGGACAACAGAGGAUGAGAUGGCUGGAUGACAUCACUGACUCGAUGGACGUGAGUCUGAGUGAACUCCGGGAGUUGGUGAUGGACAGGGAGGCCUGGCGUGCUGGGAUUCAUGGGGUCACAAAGAAUCGGACACGACUGAGCGACUGAACUGAACUGAGCCUGAUUAAACUAACCUAGGUAGAAUGGAUGUGCAACCUUAGAAACAGAGCAUCUCUGUCUCCUUCUCAGGGUGAAAAAGGAAAAUCUGGUUAUCCUGCAGGAUCCGGUACUCAAUGCCAUUGCUGAAAAGCACCGACGAACUCCAGCCCAGGUUUUUGAAUUCCAGUUGACCCCAGAGGAUAUGGAGCAUCUGGAUGGCCUAAAUAGAAACAUACGCUAUUUUGACUAUGGCGAGUUUGCUCAUCAUCCAGAUUACCCAUUUCACGAGGAAUAUUAACAACUGUGUCUGUGGUUGCUCCAGAGUUCUUGCAUUCGGGUUGAUGAUCGAACCACAUCUCGAGGUGCCUGCUUUAUUAGACAUCACUUAGCCUGACCAGUUAUGAUACUAGAGUAGGAAAUAAAAAUCCCUAAACCCAGUCUUUUCCCCA
This 598-nucleotide long non-coding RNA is filed under the name Bos mutus (wild yak). RNAcentral describes it as "lncRNA (ENSBMUG00000004030.1)". Lineage: Eukaryota; Metazoa; Chordata; Mammalia; Artiodactyla; Bovidae. The record is from RNAcentral.